Molecule: long non-coding RNA, 400 nt
Organism: Hordeum vulgare subsp. vulgare (domesticated barley)
Lineage: Eukaryota; Viridiplantae; Streptophyta; Magnoliopsida; Poales; Poaceae
Exons: 2
Source: RefSeq, a predicted model, not a curated record
AUACGCAAACAAUCUCUCAAUAGAAGGACUCACUUGUAUGGCGAACCUUACAAUGAACGGAAGCAGGCUGGUCAUGCUUAUGAUAGUUAUCCUCGCAUGUACCACGAUUCGUUCGCAGUGUAGGUGUACGGAAACAAUCAUGUGGAAUAUGGUCGAACAGUUGAGCAGAUGAACAGCAACAAGCUCCAAAUGUGCACAUGCUCACGGAGAAAAUCAGUUUACUGCUGUGACUUAGCAGGUGGUUGCUUUCCAACCGCAAAACAAUGUGUAAAAAGUUGUGCUCCUGGAUGCAAGUCAUCUCGUACCUUGAUAGAGCCAUGAGCAAGCACUACAUAUGCUUUAUGAUGAGAAAUUAUGUCAUGCCCAUCUUGAAAUAAAAUUACUAGAUGUGAUCCUUUUA